UGAAAAAGAAUGCACUCAGUCCUGCUGCAAC
Molecule: non-coding RNA, 31 nt
Filed under: Mus musculus (house mouse)
Lineage: Eukaryota; Metazoa; Chordata; Mammalia; Rodentia; Muridae
Source: RNAcentral